This 233-nucleotide ribosomal RNA is filed under the name uncultured bacterium. RNAcentral's name for it is "partial 16S ribosomal RNA". It matches the Rfam family "Bacterial small subunit ribosomal RNA", at positions 96 to 334 of the family's 1533-position model. The record is from RNAcentral.
UGGCGGACGGGUGAGUAAUGUCUGGGAAACUGCCCGAUGGAGGGGGAUAACUACUGGAAACGGUAGCUAAUACCGCAUAACGUCGCAAGACCAAAGAGGGGGACCUUGGGCCUCUUGCCAUCGGAUGUGCCCAGAUGGGAUUAGCUAGUAGGUGGGGUAACGGCUCACCUAGGCGACGAUCCCUAGCUGGUCUGAGAGGAUGACCAGCCACACUGGAACUGAGACACGGCCAG